This 825-nucleotide ribosomal RNA is filed under the name uncultured beta proteobacterium. RNAcentral's name for it is "bacterial SSU rRNA". It matches the Rfam family "Bacterial small subunit ribosomal RNA", at positions 38 to 857 of the family's 1533-position model. Lineage: Bacteria; Pseudomonadati; Pseudomonadota; Betaproteobacteria. The record is from RNAcentral.
GGCGGAAUGCUUUACACAUGCAAGUCGAACGAUGAAGUCUAGCUUGCUAGACGGAUUAGUGGCGAACGGGUGAGUAAUAUAUCGGAACGUAUCCAUUAAUGGGGGAUAACUAGUCGAAAGAUUGGCUAAUACCGCAUACGUCCUACGGGAGAAAGCUAGGGACCUUCGGGCCUGGCGUUAAUGGAGCGGCCGAUAUCUGAUUAGCUAGUUGGUGAGGUAAAGGCUCACCAAGGCGACGAUCAGUAGCUGGUCUGAGAGGACGACCAGCCACACUGGAACUGAGACACGGUCCAGACUCCUACGGGAGGCAGCAGUGGGGAAUUUUGGACAAUGGGCGAAAGCCUGAUCCAGCCAUUCCGCGUGAGUGAAGAAGGCCUUCGGGUUGUAAAGCUCUUUCGCAAGGGAAGAAAACUUAAUCUCUAACAUAGAUUGAGGUUGACGGUACCUUGAUAAGAAGCACCGGCUAACUACGUGCCAGCAGCCGCGGUAAUACGUAGGGUGCGAGCGUUAAUCGGAAUUACUGGGCGUAAAGCGUGCGCAGGCUGUUUUGUAAGUCAGAUGUGAAAUCCCUGGGCUCAACCUAGGAACUGCGUUUGAAACUACAAGACUAGAAUAUGUCAGAGGGGGGUAGAAUUCCACGUGUAGCAGUGAAAUGCGUAGAGAUGUGGAGGAAUACCAAUGGCGAAGGCAGCCCCCUGGGACAAUAUUGACGCUCAUGCACGAAAGCGUGGGGAGCAAACAGGAUUAGAUACCCUGGUAGUCCACGCCCUAAACGAUGUCUACUAGUUGUUGGUGGAGUAAAAUCCAUGAGUAACGCAGCUAACG